AUGCACCGAAGCUGCGGCAGCGACACUAUGUGUUGUUGGGUAGGGGAGCGUUCUGUAAGCCGUUGAAGGUGUGCUGUGAGGCAUGCUGGAGGUAUCAGAAGUGCGAAUGCUGACAUAAGUAACGAUAAAGCGGGUGAAAAGCCCGCUCGCCGGAAGACCAAGGGUUCCUGUCCAACGUUAAUCGGGGCAGGGUGAGUCGACCCCUAAGGCGAGGCCGAAAGGCGUAGUCGAUGGGAAACAGGUUAAUAUUCCUGUACUUGGUGUUACUGCGAAGGGGGGACGGAGAAGGCUAUGUUGGCCGGGCGACGGUUGUCCCGGUUUAAGCGUGUAGGCUGAUUUUCCAGGCAAAUCCGGAGAAUCAAGGCUGAGGCGUGAUGACGAGGCACUACGGUGCUGAAGCAACAAAUGCCCUGCUUCCAGGAAAAGCCUCUAAGCAUCAGGUAACAUCAAAUCGUACCCCAAACCGACACAGGUGGUCAGGUAGAGAAUACCAAGGCGCUUGAGAGAACUCGGGUGAAGGAACUAGGCAAAAUGGUGCCGUAACUUCGGGAGAAGGCACGCUGAUAUGUAGGUGAAGCGACUUGCUCGUGGAGCUGAAAUCAGUCGAAGAUACCAGCUGGCUGCAACUGUUUAUUAAAAACACAGCACUGUGCAAACACGAAAGUGGACGUAUACGGUGUGACGCCUGCCCGGUGCCGGAAGGUUAAUUGAUGGGGUCAGCCGCAAGGCGAAGCUCUUGAUCGAAGCCCCGGUAAACGGCGGCCGUAACUAUAACGGUCCUAAGGUAGCGAAAUUCCUUGUCGGGUAAGUUCCGACCUGCACGAAUGGCGUAAUGAUGGCCAGGCUGUCUCCACCCGAGACUCAGUGAAAUUGAACUCGCUGUGAAGAUGCAGUGUACCCGCGGCAAGACGGAAAGACCCCGUGAACCUUUACUAUAGCUUGACACUGAACAUUGAGCCUUGAUGUGUAGGAUAGGUGGGAGGCUUUGAAGUGUGGACGCCAGUCUGCAUGGAGCCGACCUUGAAAUACCACCCUUUAAUGUUUGAUGUUCUAACGUGGACCCGUGAUCCGGGUUGCGGACAGUGUCUGGUGGGUAGUUUGACUGGGGCGGUCUCCUCCUAAAGAGUAACGGAGGAGCACGAAGGUUGGCUAAUCCUGGUCGGACAUCAGGAGGUUAGUGCAAUGGCAUAAGCCAGCUUGACUGCGAGCGUGACGGCGCGAGCAGGUGCGAAAGCAGGUCAUAGUGAUCCGGUGGUUCUGAAUGGAAGGGCCAUCGCUCAACGGAUAAAAGGUACUCCGGGGAUAACAGGCUGAUACCGCCCAAGAGUUCAUAUCGACGGCGGUGUUUGGCACCUCGAUGUCGGCUCAUCACAUCCUGGGGCUGAAGUAGGUCCCAAGGGUAUGGCUGUUCGCCAUUUAAAGUGGUACGCGAGCUGGGUUUAGAACGUCGUGAGACAGUUCGGUCCCUAUCUGCCGUGGGCGCUGGAGAACUGAGGGGGGCUGCUCCUAGUACGAGAGGACCGGAGUGGACGCAUCACUGGUGUUCGGGUUGUCAUGCCAAUGGCACUGCCCGGUAGCUAAAUGCGGAAGAGAUAAGUGCUGAAAGCAUCUAAGCACGAAACUUGCCCCGAGAUGAGUUCUCCCUGAGACUUUAAGUCUCCUGAAGGAACGUUGAAGACGACGACGUUGAUAGGCCGGGUGUGUAAGCGCAGCGAUGCGUUGAGCUAACCGGUACUAAUGAACCGUGAGGCUUAACCUU
Molecule: ribosomal RNA, 1759 nt
Filed under: Escherichia sp. KTE11
Lineage: Bacteria; Pseudomonadati; Pseudomonadota; Gammaproteobacteria; Enterobacterales; Enterobacteriaceae
Description: bacterial LSU rRNA
Rfam family: Bacterial large subunit ribosomal RNA
Source: RNAcentral